Molecule: ribosomal RNA, 354 nt
Filed under: uncultured bacterium
Lineage: Bacteria
Description: bacterial SSU rRNA
Rfam family: Bacterial small subunit ribosomal RNA
Source: RNAcentral
GGACCCGCACAAGUAGUGGAGCAUGUGGUUUAAUUCGAAGAUACGCGCAGAACCUUACCAACACUUGACAUGUUCGUCGCGACUUUAAGAGAUUAAAGUUUUCGGUUCGGCCGGACGAAACACAGGUGCUGCAUGGCUGUCGUCAGCUCGUGUCGUGAGAUGUUGGUUAAGUCCCGCAACGAGCGCAACCCUCACUUUUAGUUGCCAUCAUUUAGUUGGGCACUCUGAAAGAACUGCCAGUGAUAAGCUGGAGGAAGGUGGGGAUGACGUCAAGUCCUCAUGGCCCUUACGUGUUGGGCUACACACGUGCUACAAUGGCAUCUACAACAGGAAGCGAAACGGCAACGUUAAGCA